RNAcentral lists this small nuclear RNA (23 nucleotides) under Arabidopsis thaliana (thale cress). Its description in RNAcentral is "snRNA_03046". Lineage: Eukaryota; Viridiplantae; Streptophyta; Magnoliopsida; Brassicales; Brassicaceae. The record is from RNAcentral.
AAAACAUGAUAUUGCAAAACAAA